RNAcentral lists this ribosomal RNA (444 nucleotides) under uncultured bacterium. RNAcentral describes it as "partial 16S ribosomal RNA". It matches the Rfam family "Bacterial small subunit ribosomal RNA", at positions 354 to 796 of the family's 1533-position model. The record is from RNAcentral.
GUAGGGAAUAUUGGGCAAUGGUCGGAAGACUGACCCAGCCAUGCCGCGUGCAGGAAGACGGCCCUCUGGGUUGUAAACUGCUUUUAUCUGGGAAGAAAAAGGCCAUGCGUGGCAAAUUGCCGGUACCAGAUGAAUAAGCACCGGCUAACUCCGUGCCAGCAGCCGCGGUAAUACGGAGGGUGCGAGCGUUGUCCGGAUUUAUUGGGUUUAAAGGGUGCGUAGGCGGCUGAUGAAGGCAGCGGUGAAAGACUUCGGCUUAACCGGAGCAGUGCCGUUGAUACUGGUUGGCUUGAGUGUCGGAGGGGUACAUGGAAUUGAUGGUGUAGCGGUGAAAUGCAUAGAUACCAUCAGGAACACCGAUAGCGAAGGCAUUGUACUGGCCGACAACUGACGCUGAUGCACGAAAGUGUGGGGAUCGAACAGGAUUAGAAACCCGAGUAGUCC